This 520-nucleotide ribosomal RNA is filed under the name uncultured bacterium. Its description in RNAcentral is "bacterial SSU rRNA". It matches the Rfam family "Bacterial small subunit ribosomal RNA", at positions 15 to 518 of the family's 1533-position model. The record is from RNAcentral.
GAUUACUGGCUCAGAUUGAACGCUGGCGGCGUGCUUAACACAUGCAAGUCGCGCGUGAAAGGACUUCGGUCCGAGUAAAGCGGCGCACGGGUGAGUAACGCGUGGAUGAUCUACCCAUGAGUUAGGAAUAACGGCUGGAAACGGUCGCUAAUACCAAAUACGCUCCGAUUUCAACUUCGGGGGGAAAGGUGGCCUCUGCUUGCAAGCUACUGCUCAUGGAUGAGUCCGCGUCCCAUUAGCUAGUUGGUGGGGUAACGGCCCACCAAGGCGACGAUGGGUAGCCGGUCUGAGAGGAUGACCGGCCACACUGGGACUGGAACACGGCCCAGACUCCUACGGGAGGCAGCAGUGGGGAAUAUUGCGCAAUGGGCGAAAGCCUGACGCAGCGACGCCGCGUGAGGGAUGAAGGUCCUCGGAUCGUAAACCUCUGUCAGGAGGGAAGAACCGCCACGGUGCUAAUCAGCCGUGGUCUGACGGUACCUCCAAAGGAAGCACCGGCUAACUCCGUGCCAGCAGCCGC